This 252-nucleotide ribosomal RNA is filed under the name uncultured bacterium. RNAcentral's name for it is "partial 16S ribosomal RNA". It matches the Rfam family "Bacterial small subunit ribosomal RNA", at positions 524 to 776 of the family's 1533-position model. The record is from RNAcentral.
UACGUAGGUCCCGAGCGUUGUCCGGGUUUAUUGGGCGUAAAGCGAGCGCAGGUGGUUUAUUAAGUCUGGUGUAAAAGGCAGUGGCUCAACCAUUGUAUGCAUUGGAAACUGGUAGACUUGAGUGCAGGAGAGGAGAGUGGAAUUCCAUGUGUAGCGGUGCAAUGCGUAGAUAUAUGGAGGAACACCGGUGGCGAAAGCGGCUCUCUGGCCUGUAACUGACACUGAGGCUCGAAAGCGGGGGGAGCAAACAGG